AAAUAUUUCAUAAGCAAAUAAUUUUACAACAAGUUGUGAAAAGAGGUUCCCUAGGAGUACCUAGGAUGCAUUGGGUGCCUAACACCUUCCCUUUGCAUAAUUACCCCCUUACCCAGAUCUCUGACCUUUCAUUAGUUUUCUUACAAGUUGUGAAAAGAGGUUCCCUAGGAGUACCUAGGAUGCAUUGGGUGCCUAACACCUUCCCUUUGCAUAAUUACCCCCUUACCCAGAUC
Molecule: long non-coding RNA, 233 nt
Filed under: Lathyrus oleraceus (garden pea)
Lineage: Eukaryota; Viridiplantae; Streptophyta; Magnoliopsida; Fabales; Fabaceae
Description: Pisum sativum (pea) long non-coding RNA (PSAT_LNC004177)
Source: RNAcentral